Molecule: non-coding RNA, 236 nt
Filed under: Plagiomnium medium
Lineage: Eukaryota; Viridiplantae; Streptophyta; Bryopsida; Bryales; Mniaceae
Source: RNAcentral
GGCGGUAACCCUUCUGAGCUGAGAACGAAGGCAAGGGGGAGGAAGGCUGACGCCUUGUUAGCGGGGUGUUAAGCACUAGAGUGUGGCACUGUGCCUCAAAAUGUCAGCUAUGGUUCCGUAGGGUGUGAUGAGUGCUUUACCCGGUGCUCAUCUUCUACCCAGCCCACCUACCCUUGUGACAUGGGCCGCGCUCCCCCCGGCGCGGUCUAUGUCAAUUGUAUAUCACUCCUGAGCUA